CAAAAGGUAAAUCAGAUAUUCAGAUUACAAAAAUAAAAAUAAUAAAAAAUAGAACCCUUCACCCUCCGCCUCCCAUCUCCUUUGUCGCCGCUCCUUGCAGAAGAAUCAGAUUACAAAAAAUUGAAAUGUUGCCAUUCACGCCUCUAUCAAUUAAUCUAUUCUUCACUCCAGAUUCUUCUCUCUUUUUUAUUCUAUACUAUAGUAUCUGGUCUGGUGGUUCAUUCCUGUUGUAUUAAGGAGCUUCUGCAAUCAAGGGAGGAGGAUGUCGUAUCAUAUAUGAUAUUGACAGAUUACUCUGAUUGGAAAUGGAUGAGAAGAUAGGAAGAAAGGUUUUGGAUGUUUGAAGAUGUUGAGGAAGCGUUUUCUGUACAGGAGUAUUGAGGGAGCUCAUUAAGCUUAUUAAGAUCCACAAGGAACCUUGAAGCUAUUGCAAUGUCUUUCCUUGUAGCAAACGCAAUUGGUGCUCAUAUCAAUGGCCGUUGACUUUCUGCUGCCAUUCAUAUUAGCAUCAUUUGUUGCAAAUUUUCACUUUCACGGCUUCUCAAUACUUCGAUUCUCUGAAGUUAAUGUCAGCAUUCUUCGGCCCAAUCUAUAAGGACCGACUAGAAGAGAAUAGGGAUCUGUUAGCUGUCAAAGUGCAGAGGCAUUUUGUUCUUGAGACUAGCUGGAGAUUUAAAUUGUGCAAUUAGGACUUUGUCUUCUCAAAUUUCUGUAGACAGUAGGUAGUGAUUGUUCAUUCCUUUUUUUUUUUUUUUUGGGUUGUAUAUUAUAUUAUCUAUGGAAGAGGCGAUUAACCAUGUACAAUGAAUCUGUAUCAAAUAUAAUUUUGAUUGGUAAA
Molecule: long non-coding RNA, 838 nt
Organism: Olea europaea var. sylvestris
Lineage: Eukaryota; Viridiplantae; Streptophyta; Magnoliopsida; Lamiales; Oleaceae
Exons: 2
Source: RefSeq, a predicted model, not a curated record